UUGGUGAGGAUGUGGAGAAAUCAGGGCCCUUGUUCAUCACUGCUGGGAAUGCAACAUGGUGCAGCCACUUUGGAAAACAGUCUGGAAGCUCCUCGGAAAGCAAAACAUAGAAUUACCAGGGGGCCCAACAAUUCCACUCCUAGCGCCAACACCAAGCACUGGCUCCGGCAUGUAAUAGUCGCUCAAUAAACGCCUGACAAAUGAAUGGCACAAAGAAGGCGCUCGAGAAACGUAAACAGUGUUGAAGCAACUCACCUAAUGCCACGCGCUUCAGAGGGAGAAGGGACUUCGCUGGUCGUGUGUGGAUGCCCUUGGUGUUCAGGUGUCACAGGUCCAGCAAAACAAGAACCUCGCUGUAGCCCUGGAGGCCUGGGAGGAAGGGGCCGAGGGUGGCUGAAAAGUUCCGGUAAAGCAACCGUGGGCUUGCUCCAUGCUGGGGCGAAGAGCGGGCAGGAAGCGGGGCUGCGUCAGGACGCGGUGCCUCCCCUGAGAGGCAGGGGGCUGGCGAAGGCUGAGGGGCAGGUGCAGACGGUGAGCCGGGAGUGCUUGGUGCAUAGUUGGCGCCCUGGGUGAUGGCUGAAUCAAUGGAUGAUGAGCGAGCACGUGGAUGUUUUGCUGAAGGCAUCUGAUGUGGCUGAACCUGCAGCAAACUGAUUCUGUUUGGAACUUGGGGGCCAGAGAGGAACCACCCAGGACAGACAGAGUGGGCACUUUGGUUGCCUGGAACAUUAGGCCUCCCCAUGUUCACUGAGGACCAGGAGUUACUGUUCGGGUCCUUGUGAAUUCCAAAGCCUCUUGGGAAUGUCAUCUGUAAGCAUCCACUAACACUUAGAAACACACAUUCUCUUUGACCCUGCCAUCCCACUUCCGGGAAUCUGCCCCACAGGAAUGGAAACCCUAGCAUGGAAGGCCACAGGACCAGAAUGUUUACUGUGCCAUGUUUGUGGGGGCAAAAACCUGGAAGCAAUCUGACAGUCCAUCAGGACUGGAAAGGUUGGAGAAGUUGUGCUACGUGCCUUUUUGAAAUACCAACCUUUUAAAAAUUCGAUUUCUAUGUAAUUAUCUGGAGUACUGUCCUUGAUCUAUUGCAAAGUAAAAAACGGAAAACCCCCAAAAAACUCCAAGUAGGCCAGUAAUGUGAAUCAAACAAUGCUAGAAAAUUU
Molecule: long non-coding RNA, 1163 nt
Filed under: Equus asinus (donkey)
Lineage: Eukaryota; Metazoa; Chordata; Mammalia; Perissodactyla; Equidae
Description: lncRNA (ENSEASG00005028203.1)
Source: RNAcentral